RNAcentral lists this long non-coding RNA (365 nucleotides) under Homo sapiens (human). Its description in RNAcentral is "HSALNT0109294". The record is from RNAcentral. Lineage: Eukaryota; Metazoa; Chordata; Mammalia; Primates; Hominidae.
GGGCAACAUGGCAAAAGCCCUUCUCUACUGGAUAAUGGUGCACUUGAAAUUUCACAAUCAAUACGUUUUGCUGGUAACUUUAAAAAACCUGACCUAAGAGAUCCUUUAGUGCACCCAAUGGGUGACUUUGUCAACAUCCCUAAUACAACUGUUGUUCUCUGUCUGCUCUACUUUAAUUCAACCCACCCAUGGGAUGCCAUGUAAUAAAAUUGCUCUAUAUUAUCUAUUGUUUAAGUAAAUAAAUAUAUGUGCUAUUGCUAAUACUACAUACUGUACCUAGAUAUAUUCCUCUGGGAAAAUUAAGACCCAUAUAUACAAAAUAAGAAAACAGGUCACAUAGUUACAACAAGUCUCACCUAAUCCCC